This 497-nucleotide ribosomal RNA is filed under the name uncultured bacterium. RNAcentral's name for it is "partial 16S ribosomal RNA". It matches the Rfam family "Bacterial small subunit ribosomal RNA", at positions 28 to 507 of the family's 1533-position model. The record is from RNAcentral.
GAUGAACGCUGGCGGCGUGCCUAAUACAUGCAAGUCGAGCGAACAGACGAGGAGCUUGCUCCUCUGACGUUAGCGGCGGACGGGUGAGUAACACGUGGAUAACCUACCUAUAAGACUGGGAUAACUUCGGGAAACCGGAGCUAAUACCGGAUAAUAUAUUGAACCGCAUCGUUCAAUAGUGAAAGACGGUUUUGCUGUCACUUAUAGAUGGAUCCGCGCCGCAUUAGCUAGUUGGUAAGGUAACGGCUUACCAAGGCAACGAUGCGUAGCCGACCUGAGAGGGUGAUCGGCCACACUGGAGCUGAGACACGGUCCAGACUCCUACGGGAGGCAGCAGUAGGGAAUCUUCCGCAAUGGGCGAAAGCCUGACGGAGCAACGCCGCGUGAGUGAUGAAGGUCUUCGGAUCGUAAAACUCUGUUAUUAGGGAAGAACAAAUGUGUAAGUAACUAUGCACGUCUUGACGGUACCUAAUCAGAAAGCCACGGCUAACUACGUG